ACGCUUGUGGGGGGAUUAGUGGCGAACGGGUGAGUAACACGUGAGUAACCUGCCCUUAACUCUGGGAUAAGCCUGGGAAACUGGGUCUAAUACCGGAUAUGACUCCUCAUCGCAUGGUGGGGGGUGGAAAGCUUUAUUGUGGUUUUGGAUGGACUCGCGGCCUAUCAGCUUGUUGGUGAGGUAAUGGCUCACCAAGGCGACGACGGGUAGCCGGCCUGAGAGGGUGACCGGCCACACUGGGACUGAGACACGGCCCAGACUCCUACGGGAGGCAGCAGUGGGGAAUAUUGCACAAUGGGCGAAAGCCUGAUGCAGCGACGCCGCGUGAGGGAUGACGGCCUUCGGGUUGUAAACCUCUUUCAGUAGGGAAGAAGCGAAAGUGACGGUACCUGCAGAAGAAGCGCCGGCUAACUACGUGCCAGCAGCCGCGGUAAUACGUAGGGCGCAAGCGUUAUCCGGAAUUAUUGGGCGUAAAGAGCUCGUAGGCGGUUUGUCGCGUCUGCCGUGAAAGUCCGGGGCUCAACUCCGGAUCUGCGGUGGGUACGGGCAGACUAGAGUGAUGUAGGGGAGACUGGAAUUCCUGGUGUAGCGGUGAAAUGCGCAGAUAUCAGGAGGAACACCGAUGGCGAAGGCAGGUCUCUGGGCAUUAACUGACGCUGAGGAGCGAAAGCAUGGGGAGCGAACAGGAUUAGAUACCCUGGUAGUCCAUGCCGUAAACGUUGGGCACUAGGUGUGGGGGACAUUCCACGUUUUCCGCGCCGUAGCUAACGCAUUAAGUGCCCCGCCUGGGGAGUACGGCCGCAAGGCUAAAACUCAAAGGAAUUGACGGGGGCCCGCACAAGCGGCGGAGCAUGCGGAUUAAUUCGAUGCAACGCGAAGAACCUUACCAAGGCUUGACAUGAACCGGUAAUACCUGGAAACAGGUGCCCCGCUUGCGGUCGGUUUACAGGUGGUGCAUGGUUGUCGUCAGCUCGUGUCGUGAGAUGUUGGGUUAAGUCCCGCAACGAGCGCAACCCUCGUUCUAUGUUGCCAGCGCGUGAUGGCGGGGACUCAUAGGAGACUGCCGGGGUCAACUCGGAGGAAGGUGGGGACGACGUCAAAUCAUCAUGCCCCUUAUGUCUUGGGCUUCACGCAUGCUACAAUGGCCGGUACAAAGGGUUGCGAUACUGUGAGGUGGAGCUAAUCCCAAAAAGCCGGUCUCAGUUCGGAUUGGGGUCUGCAACUCGACCCCAUGAAGUCGGAGUCGCUAGUAAUCGCAGAUCAGCAACGCUGCGGUGAAUACGUUCCCGGGCCUUGUACACACCGCCCGUCAAGUCACGAAAGUUGGUAACACCCGAAGCCGGUGGCCUAACCCCUUGU
Molecule: ribosomal RNA, 1359 nt
Filed under: Pseudarthrobacter sulfonivorans
Lineage: Bacteria; Bacillati; Actinomycetota; Actinomycetes; Micrococcales; Micrococcaceae
Description: bacterial SSU rRNA
Rfam family: Bacterial small subunit ribosomal RNA
Source: RNAcentral